Long non-coding RNA from Sinocyclocheilus rhinocerous, 313 nucleotides. RefSeq lists it as uncharacterized. NCBI's taxonomy places the organism in Eukaryota, Metazoa, Chordata, Actinopteri, Cypriniformes, Cyprinidae. The record is from RefSeq and is a predicted model, not a curated record. The transcript has 3 exons.
UGAGUCUGUUCUGACGGCUCUGGGAGGAUGCAAAAUACUGAGGGAGCUGUCUAAACUGGAGAUUGAGACAGCCGCUAAACUCUCCAUGAAGGAGUUGGCCACAAAGUUUGAGUGUAUGGCUCAUGAUGUGUUUAGCAUGUGCUACCAAACCAAAGCAAGUUAUUCCUACAAGCUGCUGAUCCGCAAGUCUAAUCUGUGGGGUGACGCCACCUGUCUGAAGAUGGCCAUGGCCACUGAUGCCCGUUAUUUCUUCAGCCAUGAUGGAGUACAGUCCCUGCUGUCUCAGAUCUGGUGGGGUGACAUGGAAAGAGGA